CCUACGGGGGGCAGCAGUAGGGAAUCUUCCACAAUGGACGAAAGUCUGAUGGAGCGACGCCGCGUGGGUGAAGAAGCGCCUCGGCGCGUAAAGCCCUGUCAGCAGGGAAGAAAAUGACGGUACCUGAAGAAGAAGCCCCGGCUAACUACGUGCCAGCAGCCGCGGUAAUACGUAGGGGGCAAGCGUUAUCCGGAUUUACUGGGUGUAAAGGGGGCGCAGACGGCGAUGCAAGUCAGGAGUGAAAGCCCGGGGCCCAACCCCAGGACUGCUCUGGGAACUGCGUGGCUGGAGUGCUGGAGGGGCAG
This 305-nucleotide ribosomal RNA is filed under the name uncultured bacterium. Its description in RNAcentral is "bacterial SSU rRNA". It matches the Rfam family "Bacterial small subunit ribosomal RNA", at positions 338 to 660 of the family's 1533-position model. The record is from RNAcentral.